Molecule: transfer RNA, 71 nt
Filed under: Loxodonta africana (African savanna elephant)
Lineage: Eukaryota; Metazoa; Chordata; Mammalia; Proboscidea; Elephantidae
Rfam family: tRNA
About the family: Transfer RNA (tRNA) molecules are approximately 80 nucleotides in length. Their secondary structure includes four short double-helical elements and three loops (D, anti-codon, and T loops).
Source: Rfam by way of RNAcentral
AUAGUGGUACCUCAGUGGUAGAAGUCUUGCUUUCCAGGCGGGAGACCUGGGUUUGAUUCCUAGCCAAUGUA